GAACCACCUGGGAAGGUGGACCAUAGAGGGUGAAAGUCCCGUAGUUGAAAACGGGUUAUAGUGCGAGGUAGAUCCUGAGUACCUCGGAACACGAGGAAUUCCGAGGGAAGCAGGGGGGACCACCCUCCAAGGCUAAAUAUCUGGUUACACCGAUAGCGAAUAGUACCGUGAGGGAAAGGUGAAAAGAACCCCGGGAGGGGAGUGAAAUAGAAUCUGAAAUCCUAUGCCUACAAGGGAGUAGGAGCCCGAGAGGGUGACUGCGUACCUAUUGACGAAUGGGCCAACGAGUUAACUAACAAGGCAUGGUUAAGACAGUGAUAGUCGAAGUCGAAGGGAAACCGAGUCUGAAUAGGGCGAGAUAGUCUUGUUGGUUAGACCCGAAGCCAUAUGAGCUAGCCAUGGGCAGGAUGAACCCUGUGGAGACACAGGGGGAGGUCCGAACGGAUGGGAGCUGCAAGUCCUUCCGAUGACCUGUGGUUAGGAGUGAAAAGCUCAUCGAAUUCGGUGAUAGCUGGUUCUCCUCGAAACCACUUUAGGGUGGGCCUGCUGUUAAGAUCUUGAAGGGGUAGAGCACUGGUAAGGCUAGGGGUGUCGAGAGGCAUUACCAAACCUUGCUAAACUUCGAAUACUUUAAGGAAUACAGUGGAGUUACACUGCGGGGGAUAAGCUUCGUAGUGGAAAGGGAAACAGCCCAGAUUUCUAGCUAAGGUCUCAAAGAGAUGGCUAAGUGGCAAAGGAGGUGCACUUGCAGAGACAUCUAGGAGGUUUGCUCAGAAGCAGCAAUCUUUUAAAGAGUGCGUAAUAGCUCACUGGCCGAGCAGGUAUGCGCCGAAAAUGUAAGGAGGCUUAAGUCACUCACCGAAGCCGAAGGUCUACACGGAUAGUGUAGGCGGUAGAGGAGCGUUCUAUACACGAUGAAGUCAACUCGUAAGGGUUGAUGGAGUGUAUAGAAGUGAAAAUGUUGGCAUGAGUAACGACUGGAGGUGAGAAUCCUCCACGCCGAAAGCCCAAGGAUUCCACAGCAACGUUCGACGACUGUGGGUUAGGCGGAACCUAAGGUUAAGCCGAAAGGUGAGACCGAUGGGAAGCCGGUUAAUAUUCCGGCCCCUAGGUAGUAGGGAAGGCGUGACGCAUUGGGCCAUGUGUAUGCUUCCUAUAAGGGAGUCUAACUAGUGAGCCGACUGGCCUGAGAAGGCUGGGGCAGAUGGCAGGGAAAUCCACCAUUUGUAUAAAGGCGAGCUAGGAAGGAGACCUACUGUAGAGGUAGGAAAUACAUAGGUCUGGUGCCGAGAAAAACGUCUACUGUUAAUACUACCUAGUCCGUACCGAGAACUAACACUAGUGGACUAGUGGAGAACACUAAGGCGAGCGAGUUAACUAGGGAUAAGGAACUCGGCAAAUUAGCGGGCGUAACUUCGGGAUAAGCCCUGCCCAGACUAUGUUUGGGCCGCAGCGAAAGAAGUGGGGGGGACUGUUUAUCAAAAACACAGCUCUCUGCGAACUCCAAAAGAGGAGGUAUAGAGGGUGAUGCCUGUCCGGUGCCAGAAUGUUAAGCACUGGGGUGCAAGCCCUGGUGUGAAGCACUGGUGAACGACGGCCGUAACUAUGACGGUCCUAAGGUAGCGAAAUUCCUUGUCGGGUAAGUUCCGACCCGCAUGAAUGGCGUAACCAUCCCCGCGCUGUCUCAAUCCCAGGCCCGGUGAAAUUACAAUCCCGGUAAAAAUGCCGGGUAGGUGCGGUUAGACGGAAAGACCCUGUGAAGCUUUACUGCAGCUUGGUAUUGGGUCGGGGUACAUCAUGCGCAGAAUAGGUGGGAGGCUGAGAAGUCUGGGCUCUGGCUCAGGUGGAGCCGUCGGUGAGAUACCACCCAUGGUGUAUUCUGGCUCUAACCCCAGAAGACUGGGGGACAGUGCCUGGUAGGCAGUUUGCCUGGGGCGGGAGCCUCCUAAAGAGUAACGGAGGCGCACAAAAGUUGGCUUAGCACGGAUGGAAACCGUGCGGGACGUGUAUUCGCGGAAGUCAGCUUGACUGUGAGACUGACAGGUCGAACAGAGUGGAAACACGGUGAAAGUGAUCCGGAUCUUCCGAGUGGAAGGGGAUCCGCUCAACGGAUAAAAGCUACUCCGGGGAUAACAGGCUAAUGGGAUCCAAGAGUUCACAUCGACGAUCCCGUUUGGCACCUCGAUGUCGGCUCGUCGCAUCCUGGGGCUGUAGCCGGUCCCAAGGGUUGGGCUGUUCGCCCAUUAAAGCGGGACGCGAGCUGGGUUCAGAACGUCGUGAGACAGUUCGGCCCCUAUCUACCGUGCUCGUAUGCGACUUGAGGGGAUGUGCUCCUAGUACGAGAGGACCGGAGCGCACUGGCCGCUGGUGAACCAGUUGUCCGAGAGGGCACAGCUGGGUAGCUAAGCCGGGAAAGGAUAACCACUGAAAGCAUCUAAGUGGGAAGCCAACCCCAAGAUAAGGUCGCACAAUCGGCACCUUCGAGACUAGGAGGUUGAUAGGCUGGCGGUGUAAGCCUGGCAACAGGUUUAGCUGACCAGUACUAACAAGCCGAACGGACUUUAUCCU
RNAcentral lists this ribosomal RNA (2568 nucleotides) under metagenome. Its description in RNAcentral is "bacterial LSU rRNA". It matches the Rfam family "Bacterial large subunit ribosomal RNA", at positions 335 to 2925 of the family's 2925-position model. The record is from RNAcentral.